Long non-coding RNA from Ictalurus punctatus (channel catfish), 1054 nucleotides. Lineage: Eukaryota; Metazoa; Chordata; Actinopteri; Siluriformes; Ictaluridae. The record is from Ensembl.
CGUCUUUAAUCACACUGACAGCAUCUUCAUCAUCAUCAUCAUCAUCAUCAUCAUCAUCAUCAUCAGAUCAGAAUGCUGUGUUUGAUGGUCAUUGGAUUUCUUUUAUCCUGUGCAGAUUGUACCAAGUCAUAUCAGAGAAAAACUCUACACCAGAUGAACAGAGCUGCUUUUAAGGGGGAAACUGUUGUUUUUCACUGCAAUGGAACUCUGACUAGUGAACUUAAAGAUAUUGGUUGGCGUAAAGAUGGGAAUCUUAUUUUUAUCCAGAGCUCAGUUAUAAACCAAACUGUGUUCAACUACACAUCGAGCAGGAUGCAGGUUAAUCCCCGAAAUCCAAGAGAACUACAGAUAUCUGAUGUACAGCUUUCAGAUAAAGGAUUAUACUUAUGUCUUCCAUUAGACAUGCAGUGGAUAUUAACUAUAGAAGAGAAUGAAAUACAGACCAGCAAAGGAAGGCUAUCCUACAUAGUUUUCUCAGUAAUCACAGUGUGUGUCUCAGUGUGUCUCUUUAUCUUCUGUGCCGUGUGUCUUCACAGAAAACAAGAAAACAGAGGAGCCUCAGAUCAAACACACACGGGCAAUAAGCUUGCAAACACAGAUUCUCUCCAUCACAGUGAGACAAUAACUUCCUGUGUAAGUUUCUCACCAUGAACCCACCCAGUUACACAACUCUCACCUUUCACUCACUCGCCCUGAUAUAAUAAUCUCAAUUUAUGAUGUAGUCAAGCUAUGCUAUACUGCUUUAUUUUACUUUACUAAUUUUACGUUUAUUUUUUUCACAGGUCUACAUCAUGACAAGCUCAAAUAAUGUUGCCAUAGACUAAAAUUGAGCAACAUGUCGCCAUCACGUCCUUCUACAGAAAUGUUUCUAUGAUGCUCAUAUUCACAGGCAUAUAAACCUUUUUACUGUGCAAUGAAAUCUGGAUAAUUAAAACAUUUAGAAAACAGUCUUGUCAUAUGUUUGUUGCUCAAAUAUAACAGUCAAAUGCUUAUUGAAAAAAAAAAAAGGAAUAAAGUUUAAAGAACGCUUAAUUAGAUUAGUGGAAAAACUGCA